AAAGAGUGCACUUUUCAGUUUUUAUACGACGUUUGACUCUUCAUCUUAUUUAUUUUUUAUUACUAUUUUUAUUGUUAUUAGAUGAUAAAAUAUGAACAAUACUUUAUGCGCUACUUUUUUUUCUUAAUUUUUUUUUCAUAAAUUUUUCAAAUAAGAUGGACGGUCAAACGUUGGAAACAAAAACCCAAAAAUGCGUUCUUG
This is a non-coding RNA of Oryza barthii, 201 nucleotides long. Lineage: Eukaryota; Viridiplantae; Streptophyta; Magnoliopsida; Poales; Poaceae. The record is from Rfam.